This 647-nucleotide ribosomal RNA is filed under the name uncultured Brevundimonas sp. Its description in RNAcentral is "bacterial SSU rRNA". It matches the Rfam family "Bacterial small subunit ribosomal RNA", at positions 8 to 701 of the family's 1533-position model. Lineage: Bacteria; Pseudomonadati; Pseudomonadota; Alphaproteobacteria; Caulobacterales; Caulobacteraceae. The record is from RNAcentral.
AGAGUUUGAUCCUGGCUCAGAGCGAACGCUGGCGGCAGGCCUAACACAUGCAAGUCGAACGGACCCUUCGGGGUUAGUGGCGGACGGGUGAGUAACACGUGGGAACGUGCCUUUAGGUUCGGAAUAGCUCCUGGAAACGGGUGGUAAUGCCGAAUGUGCCCUUCGGGGGAAAGAUUUAUCGCCUUUAGAGCGGCCCGCGUCUGAUUAGCUAGUUGGUGGGGUAAUGGCCCACCAAGGCUACGAUCAGUAGCUGGUCUGAGAGGAUGACCAGCCACAUUGGGACUGAGACACGGCCCAAACUCCUACGGGAGGCAGCAGUGGGGAAUCUUGCGCAAUGGGCGAAAGCCUGACGCAGCCAUGCCGCGUGUAUGAUGAAGGUCUUAGGAUUGUAAAAUACUUUCACCGGUGAAGAUAAUGACUGUAGCCGGAGAAGAAGCCCCGGCUAACUUCGUGCCAGCAGCCGCGGUAAUACGAAGGGGGCUAGCGUUGCUCGGAAUUACUGGGCGUAAAGGGAGCGUAGGCGGACAUUUAAGUCAGAGGUGAAAUCCCGGAGCUUAACUUCGGAACUGCCUUUGAUACUGGGUGUCUUGAGUGUGAGAGAGGUAUGUGGAACUCCGAGUGUAGAGGUGAAAUUCGUAGAUAUUCGG